GGGCUACUCUGCAUCCUGGCACUCUAUGUAUCCAUUGACUCCCCGGUGGCCUAGAGCCAAGCCGAUGGCAUUCCCUCCAGAGGCACAAGCACAUGCCAAUGUCUGUCUGGUUUCCUGUUUUCCGAACAAAAAUUCAUUUUUCUGAGUGGGGUCACCUCUGGUGAUAACAAAUAGGAGCUGCUUCUGAGAUUUCUACAAAAUUCCAGGCAUUCACAUCAGCUCAAGGAUGUGACCUCAGCAGAGUACACUGGCCUUCCUCUCCUUCUGGGCAGUCCCUUCAGACUUUCCGUCUAUAGGAGCCUGAAGGAUUUCCUGUUUCUCCAAGGCCAAGGGGCCAAAGCUUGUUCGUCUCCAUCUUUGCCACAGCUGGACAAGACGAAUACAACACACACUUGUUUUCUGGUGAAAUGGAAUUUCGCUUUUUGUUUUCUGGCUUUUUUUUUUUUUUUGGUAUCAAUUUAUAUACUUAUAUGACUUUCCUUCCUCAGCCCGCUGAUAUGGUGGAUUACACUGAUGAUUUUCAAAUGUU
Long non-coding RNA from Canis lupus familiaris (dog), 529 nucleotides. RefSeq lists it as uncharacterized. The transcript is spliced from 3 exons. The record is from RefSeq and is a predicted model, not a curated record. Lineage: Eukaryota; Metazoa; Chordata; Mammalia; Carnivora; Canidae.